RNAcentral lists this unclassified non-coding RNA (690 nucleotides) under Hevea brasiliensis (rubber tree). The record is from RNAcentral. Lineage: Eukaryota; Viridiplantae; Streptophyta; Magnoliopsida; Malpighiales; Euphorbiaceae.
AAGGCAAUUUAUUAUUCAAUUAGAAAAAAAAAAAUCUGUGAAAUUAGUGCUACAUUCAAAUAAAGCUUUUUGAGAUAUUUACAGCAGCAUUUUCAAAUCUGAACUCCGUAGAUAAAUAUUUUUAGGACAGCUUCUAAGUAAUCUUUUUUAAGGAACUUAUGGUGCUUAGUUUUAGCCCCAAAGGGCAACUGUUCAUGUUCCAAACAAAGUCCUUGAAUUAAGGUCAACUAUCAGAGAGUUUGGAAGUAAAGGGAAAGGUAAUGAUAGAAGCUAGAUAUACACACACAUACCUUAUGCACUUGCAAAAGGUUGCACUAUUUUUUUUCAAACCUCCAUCUACAAGCAGUAAACUAGCCAAGUGUUAAUGUAAAGCAUAAUCACCAAGAGUAUGCUAUUCUCUAGAUUGUGGAAUGCGAAGGGAUACAUCACUUGAAUUAAUAUGUUGUAAUAGGCUUAGUUCAUUAGCUAAUUUAAAUCGUGGUACAUGUAUGACAUUUAUUGGGAUCAUGCCAUAUGUAUUAUGCUUAUUAAUAUUGAUUACAAAGCCUCCUAGUAAGUUAUAUUGGUUGAAUAGCCAAUGGAGUAGCCAAUUUUCAUUUUAUUUUAUUUAAAUUUUAACAAUGAAGUUACUAUUAAAUGCUUAAUCGCAUUUGAAAUUGAUUAAAAAAUUUUUUAUUUUCAAAUUAUAAU